GACGAACGCUGGCGGCGUGCUUAACACAUGCAAGUCGAACGCUGAAGGCCUGGCUUUUGUUGGGUUGGAUGAGUGGCGAACGGGUGAGUAACACGUGAGUAACCUGCCCUCUUCUUUGGGAUAACGCCCGGAAACGGGUGCUAAUACUGGAUAUUCACUGAUCUUCGCAUGGGGGUUGGUGGAAAGGUUUGUUCUGGUGGGGGAUGGGCUCGCGGCCUAUCAGCUUGUUGGUGGGGUGAUGGCCUACCAAGGCUUUGACGGGUAGCCGGCCUGAGAGGGUGACCGGUCACAUUGGGACUGAGAGACGGCCCAGACUCCGACGGGAGGCAGCAGUGGGGAAUAGUGCACAAUGGGCGAAAGCCUGAUGCAGCGACGCCGCGUGAGGGAUGGAGGCCUUCGGGUUGGAAACCUCUUUCGCUCAUGGUCAAGCCGCAACUGUGGGUUGUGGUGAGGGUAGUGGGUAAAGAAGCGCCGGCUAACUACGUG
This 486-nucleotide ribosomal RNA is filed under the name uncultured bacterium. RNAcentral describes it as "partial 16S ribosomal RNA". It matches the Rfam family "Bacterial small subunit ribosomal RNA", at positions 28 to 507 of the family's 1533-position model. The record is from RNAcentral.